RNAcentral lists this ribosomal RNA (253 nucleotides) under uncultured bacterium. Its description in RNAcentral is "partial 16S ribosomal RNA". It matches the Rfam family "Bacterial small subunit ribosomal RNA", at positions 524 to 776 of the family's 1533-position model. The record is from RNAcentral.
UACGUAGGUGGCAAGCGUUGUCCGGAUUUACUGGGCGUAAAGAGCGCGCAGGCGGUCGUUCAAGUCGCGUGUGAAAGCCCCCGGCUCAACUGGGGAGGGUCACGCGAUACUGAUCGACUCGAAGGCAGGAGAGGGUAGUGGAAUUCCCGGUGUAGUGGUGAAAUGCGUAGAUAUCGGGAGGAACACCAGUGGCGAAGGCGGGUCUCUGGGCAUCUCCUGACGCUGAGGCGCGAAAGCGUGGGGAGCAAACGGG